RNAcentral lists this ribosomal RNA (324 nucleotides) under uncultured bacterium. RNAcentral's name for it is "bacterial SSU rRNA". It matches the Rfam family "Bacterial small subunit ribosomal RNA", at positions 29 to 334 of the family's 1533-position model. The record is from RNAcentral.
AACGAACGCUGGCGGCGUGCCUAACACAUGCAAGUCGAGCGGGAAAGUUUCCUUCGGGAAGCGAGUAUAGCGGCGAACGGGUGAGUAACACGUAGGUAACCUGCCCUUUAGUCUGGGAUAACUCGCCGAAAGGCGGGCUAAUACCGGAUAAGACCACGAGAUCUGCGGAUCAUGUGGUAAAAGAUGGCCUCUUCUUGAAAGCUAUCACUAGGGGAUGGGCCUGCGCGCCAUUAGCUUGUUGGUGAGGUAACGGCUCACCAAGGCUGCGAUGGCUAGCUGGUCUGAGAGGAUGACCAGCCACACUGGGACUGAGACACGGCCCAG